RNAcentral lists this ribosomal RNA (254 nucleotides) under uncultured bacterium. RNAcentral describes it as "partial 16S ribosomal RNA". It matches the Rfam family "Bacterial small subunit ribosomal RNA", at positions 524 to 776 of the family's 1533-position model. The record is from RNAcentral.
AACGUAGGACGCAAGCGUUAUCCGGAGGUACUGGGCGUAAAGGGCAGGCAGGCGGGUCGAUAAGUCGGAGGGGAAAUCUCCCUGGCUUAACCGGGAGAGUGCAUUUGAGACUGUCAACCUGGAGGGCAGCAGAGGAGCGUGGAAUUCCGGGUGGAGUGGUGAAAUGCGUAGAGAUCCGGAGGAACACCAGAGGCGAAAGCGGCGCUCUGGGCUGCACCUGACGCUGAACUGCGAAAGCCAGGGGAGCGAACGGG